GACAGAGGGUGCAAACGUUGCUCGGAAUCACUGGGCGUAAAGCGCACGUAGGCGGAUUGCUAAGUCAGGGGUGAAAUCCUGGAGCUCAACUCCAGAACUGCCUUUGAUACUGUCGACCUUGAGUCCGGGAGAGGGAUGUGGAAUUCCAGGUGUAGCGGUGAAAUGCGUAGAUAUCUGGAGGAACACCGGUGGCGAAGGCGGCAUCCUGGACCGGUAUUGACGCUGAGGCGCGAAAGCCAGGGGAGCAAACGGG
Molecule: ribosomal RNA, 253 nt
Filed under: uncultured bacterium
Lineage: Bacteria
Description: partial 16S ribosomal RNA
Rfam family: Bacterial small subunit ribosomal RNA
Source: RNAcentral